This is a long non-coding RNA of Mesocricetus auratus (golden hamster), 652 nucleotides long. RefSeq lists it as uncharacterized. The transcript is spliced from 3 exons. NCBI's taxonomy places the organism in Eukaryota, Metazoa, Chordata, Mammalia, Rodentia, Cricetidae. The record is from RefSeq and is a predicted model, not a curated record.
CACAGUGAUUGAUUUAAACAAAAGUUACAUGGCCAAUAGCUAGGCAAGACUUUCAGGGCAGAGGAAAUGCUGGGAAGGAGUACGCUGAAGUCAGACAGAUGCCAAACAAGUGGUGCACACAAAAUGGGAUAGAGCAAGCUGCAAAGAUAAAAAGAAACAUAUAACAAAACCAUGCUCUUGCUUGAAGCAAAACUUCCCGUCAUGUAUUAAGGUUGAAGAAGGGGAACUCUUCAAUAGGAUAUCAGGACCGCCUAUUAAGCUGAGUAAGAGGCAAGCUCAGAAUACAGGUCCAGAUCUGAGCACUACCGCGGAAUGGCACGGCUCCCUCCCUUUGGGGUUGAAGGGUGUGGGUUUUGAAGAAACCAGGCCGCCAGAACGGGGGACAGUGACUGUCACUCUGGCACCUCCGGUUUUACCAAGCCGCGCCGGCGGUAUCCCUCCGGACCAGCGCCAGGGAAAGGCAGCACGGGGACACGCGACCCCGGGGGUCCCCCAAGGCCACCGGUCCCGAGGUCGGCCCCCAGGCCUAAGCAAUCCCCAGCGCCCCGCUGGGACGACCGCGGGGAUCCCGGCCCGGCUCGCGGCCACCCAGCGCCCGGCCUCUGCUUCCUGCGCUGCCAGCGCGAGCCUGCUCACUCGCACCACCAUACCU